CUACCGGUUUUCUUCAAAACCAGCUUCUAAAAAAAAAAAAAUCAA
This is a non-coding RNA of Anas platyrhynchos (mallard), 45 nucleotides long. The record is from Rfam. Lineage: Eukaryota; Metazoa; Chordata; Aves; Anseriformes; Anatidae.